UCCGAAGUAGCUCAGUGGUAGAGCAAUCGGCUGUUAACCGAUCGGUCGUAGGUUCGAGUCCUACCUUCGGAG
Transfer RNA from Psychrobacillus sp. FJAT-21963, 72 nucleotides. It matches the Rfam family "tRNA". Rfam says of the family: Transfer RNA (tRNA) molecules are approximately 80 nucleotides in length. Their secondary structure includes four short double-helical elements and three loops (D, anti-codon, and T loops). The record is from Rfam. NCBI's taxonomy places the organism in Bacteria, Bacillati, Bacillota, Bacilli, Caryophanales, Bacillaceae.